AUGAGUUCUGAAAAAGAAACAGGGCUACUUUACACAGUGAGUUCCAAGUGUGCCAAUGAAUGCGUGCCAAUGAAGUACUGUAUGUUUGAUAAAGAUAAACAGCUAUUUCAAUAUGCUCAGAAAAACUCCUCAGAAACUCUGCAUUUGAAGUGUUAUAAAGAUAUGAACAGUUUUGCUGAAGUGCCAGUGUGAGGUUAAAGAGACGGAGCCACACAAGGAGAUGAUGUCUCAAAGCUGUUGGAAACAAGGAUGGGAAGCAAAUUGGAUGAUGUAGUUCAAUGCUUGGUGGACAGUUCUCACAAGGGUCAUCAGAGCUCAAGCAUCCACCAUACGGGCAGAGUGCAGUUAUGUAGGUUGCCUUGGGGCUGGUCAUCAAUCAUGUAUGUAGGAACUGGAUUCCAGGCACAAAGGUAGAGGACACAGCAC
Molecule: long non-coding RNA, 426 nt
Filed under: Cricetulus griseus (Chinese hamster)
Lineage: Eukaryota; Metazoa; Chordata; Mammalia; Rodentia; Cricetidae
Description: lncRNA (ENSCGRG00000025513.1)
Source: RNAcentral